GUGACACCAGUCAUACACGAGUUGGAAGCGUAGGGCUGUUGGAGUGCUGUAGUGGAGAGGUCGUCCCAUCGCUAGCUGUCAUUGAAAAAUAGGAGCUGGAGGCGUCAGGAACACUAACGAUGUUCAAGAGAUUCAACCGCUAUUGAGACAGGUCCAGUUCCAACCGCUUUGAAGGUAGAGUCGUACGUAGAGUGACACUCUUGUUAGCAAGCUGCCACUAGUUGCUGCGGAUUGCUGAGGAACAUGUGCCUCUUGAAUAGUUUUCUCUAGUAAACAACAUAUUCCAAGCGUAGGAACAAGCUGUUAGGAAUUCUGAACCUGGAGGUGUGUAUUGUGUGCGCAUGAAACUGUAAAGGGCCCGAUCUGGCUGAAAAUGCCCAUUGAUG
Molecule: long non-coding RNA, 386 nt
Filed under: Setaria italica (foxtail millet)
Lineage: Eukaryota; Viridiplantae; Streptophyta; Magnoliopsida; Poales; Poaceae
Description: long non-coding RNA (SITA_LNC007156)
Source: RNAcentral